AUGGCCAGCCACUGUUUUCUGGCCCAACAGAUUUGCGGCGGUUUCAAGGGCUGCGAGUUCCAUCACGUCCCUCGAGUUGACGACGAGGCGGCAGACACGCUGGCCAAGAUCAGCUCCACCCGGCAGGCCAUCCCAGCCGGCGUCUCCCUCGAGCAUCUGCACAAGCUUUCCAUGAAGCCCUCCCCCGGACUCCGAAUCCAUCUUCGGCCCGGCAGACUCGAGGGCUGUUGGCUCCAACCCCGUGGCUGCUGUCUCGGUGCUCCCGGGGGUUGCCGGCUCCGGCCCAGGGGCUCUUGGCCCUGCCGGCCCCGUCAAGGCGGCCAUCCUGAUGGUAGAGGCGCCCUCUUGGGCGCAGCCAAUCCUCGCUUACCUCGUGAGUGGUGA
RNAcentral lists this ribosomal RNA (384 nucleotides) under Triticum aestivum (bread wheat). RNAcentral's name for it is "partial small subunit ribosomal RNA". The record is from RNAcentral. Lineage: Eukaryota; Viridiplantae; Streptophyta; Magnoliopsida; Poales; Poaceae.